UACGUAGGCAGCGAGCGUUGCUCGGAGUUACUGGGCGUAAAGGGUGUGUAGGCGGUUCUUUAAGUUUGGUGUGAAAUCUCCCGGCUCAACCGGGAGGGUGCGCCGAAUACUGAGGGACUAGAGUGCGGGAGAGGAAAGUGGAAUUCCUGGUGUAGCGGUGAAAUGCGUAGAUAUCAGGAGGAACACCGGUGGUGUAGACGGCUUUCUGGACCGUAACUGACGCUGAGACACGAAAGCGUGGGUAGCAAACAGG
RNAcentral lists this ribosomal RNA (253 nucleotides) under uncultured bacterium. RNAcentral's name for it is "partial 16S ribosomal RNA". It matches the Rfam family "Bacterial small subunit ribosomal RNA", at positions 524 to 776 of the family's 1533-position model. The record is from RNAcentral.